Cucurbita moschata (crookneck pumpkin) is the source of this 2133-nucleotide long non-coding RNA. RefSeq lists it as uncharacterized. The transcript has 2 exons. The record is from RefSeq and is a predicted model, not a curated record. NCBI's taxonomy places the organism in Eukaryota, Viridiplantae, Streptophyta, Magnoliopsida, Cucurbitales, Cucurbitaceae.
CAAAAACUUUCCCGCCGCGCGGCCGUCAUCCCUCAAUCUCUGAUACAAAUCUAAUUUGGUAUAUCAAGGUGAUGGAACAAUUAUUGAUUGAAUGGACUGCAGCAAGUGCACGAGCGCUGGUUUAUAUUGAUCCUCUUUUUGGUUGGUUUAACAAUUGGUUUCCAUAGUAUAAAUUGAUGAGUUCUUCUGGCUAUUGAUGAUUGUUUCUGUUUGUUACGAUUGUCUAAGAAAUACCCUUCUGUAUCCAAGAUGCUAAGGAAUUAUAGGUUGGUUGGAUUUCCUUUUGUCAUACAGUUUCUAGUUAUUAUUAGAGUGUGGGUAUCAUUUUCUUUGUUUGUAUCUUUAUCUAGUUUUGGAGGAUUGAUAUGAUAGCCUUUUACUGUUCUUCAUAAGAGUACACCCGGAGCGGGUGAUCUUUGGUAUUUUCUCUGAAUUGGAAUAAAUGAGGGUGCUUUGGAACUUGGUUCCCUAGUUGAGUUGAGAGAGGAAGUUUAAUUCUUUUUUAUCAGACAAAGCUUAGUUUCCUCUAAUUUCUGGUGCAAAUUGAGAUCCAAAAUUACUGCCUUGGCCAGCACCGUUUGCCCGAUCUGAAUGACAAGAUUAACGUUCUCAUUACAAAGGCGUCACGUUGUGUGUUGCCACACACACACGGUCAUGCUCCUCGUAAACCAUGGCCUGGCCAUUGGCUAUAAAUAGUCUGUUACCAUUCCCUACGCUGAAAGUAAGAAUUCUAAUCUUCCAUCUUCCCCUUUAGGGUUUAUCCUUUCUUAAUCUCAUUGGAAUCAAGAGAGGACUGAGGCAUUAAAGGGGUGAGCAGUUUCGGUGGCUCUGAAGAGCCUGCAGGUUCUCUGUAGGUUGCCCUGCUUUUCAAGCCCUCUAGAUUCAAUUCCAAAUGGUAUCUUCGUAGUAGGGGUGAUGUGCCUUUAGACAUAAGUUGACCCAUUUAAAUUUUAUACAACUCAACUCAACGGCAAGAAAGACUUAAUUAUGAUUGAUCAUAAUAUAAUUGUUCAUGAGGGGAUUCAUUAUACGUAUUAGAGUAUAAGAUGACAUACUUUUUAUUUAGUCUUAGGUUUGCCCACUCUUUAAUGAUCAACUUUAUACCUAAUGUGAUUAUAUCUAAAGACAUAACAUGUCCUACAAUACAAGAGUACAAUUUCGAGUUAAUAGUGGAGUAAUUUAUUGUUGAUAGAUAAAGAUAUAAGAAUACAUUAUUUGAGCAAAAUCCCUUAUAUUUUACAUAUCGAUAUUGAAAGAGAGAGUUUCUAGUUCAAAUCAAUUAGUUCAAGGCUCCUAUGGUCGAGCCUAGUAGGGUAACCCACUCAAAGUCGAGCUAGGUAAUCAAGCCAAGGAUAGUUCAACUUUAAGGAUCACACUAAUUAUAAAAGGAAAAAGGAGUUUCACGUGCAGAUUAUGUUACACAACACUAAUACUCACUACUUUUAACACAAACUCUAGCUGACUUAGGCAUGAGAGUAUGAGUUUGACGAGUACCAAACAAGAGUAAAGUUUCUUUGGUUCACUGACACCACAACGCUCCUAGUCUUCAAUAGUGAAUUAGAGUAGUAUUCUUGGUUAUGGUCAUGAAUGCAAAUGUUGAAUAUGAUAUAGAAUUAAAGGUAUAAGAUCUAGGUCCCAACUCAUUGAUUUAAAUACAUGUCAUAAGACUUGGAAGAAUCCAAGACGGUAGAGAGAACAAGUGGGGGUGAUGAUGAGGAUGACAAGAACAAUAAUAAAGAGUGGUGGUAGAUGAAGAAGUGAAGGAGGGUUCCUUUGUGAGUCAUAAUGGUUUUGUUGGGCAAGAAAUUGUUGAUUGUUGAUGAUUUUUUUUUUUUUUGAAAGAAAGAAAAUGGUAGCUGGCUUUGAUGGAGCUGUGGACAUGUCCCUGCCCUUGUUUUUACACAGAGAACCCCAAUUCAAUUCAAUUCAAUUCAAUGCUGGAAGUGAUGAUGAUGAUGGUGGUGGUGAUGAAAUCUCCACACGCUUUGCCAAUCCAUAAUGACAAUGACACCACACCCACACCCACACCCACACCCCUUCUCUCCAAGUAAUUACAAAAUUUUCAAACUCUUUUGGAUAAUAUGCCCUUAACAUGUAAGUAGGUGUAUCAAUGAGUUAUAUUUAAUUCUCGUA